This is a long non-coding RNA of Coregonus clupeaformis (lake whitefish), 216 nucleotides long. RefSeq lists it as uncharacterized. Lineage: Eukaryota; Metazoa; Chordata; Actinopteri; Salmoniformes; Salmonidae. The record is from RefSeq and is a predicted model, not a curated record. The transcript is spliced from 3 exons.
GCAGCUCAUUAGGAGGGCAGGUAUGGAUGGCACUGCUGCCCGCCUGCCGCCCACCACUCCCCCACAGAGGUGCCCACUCGAGGGAGAGAGAGCUGAGCUAGGCUGGCACACACACCUGGGGUAAGCAAAUAGCUUAGCAAAUACGCUGUGCUGCAGGACCGUUACUGAGGGGCUCUGGGCCUUGCCUGAGUAUGCUGACGAGGAGGCACACAAAGG